This is a long non-coding RNA of Haliotis rubra (blacklip abalone), 216 nucleotides long. RefSeq lists it as uncharacterized. The record is from RefSeq and is a predicted model, not a curated record. Lineage: Eukaryota; Metazoa; Mollusca; Gastropoda; Lepetellida; Haliotidae. The transcript is spliced from 2 exons.
GCCUAGUGGUUAAAGCGUUCGCUCGUCACGCGGAAGACCCGGCGUGCUGGUACCUCGUUUGUCUGAUGCACUGGACAGCCUUGUGUGGAUUCUCCAUUGUACUCCGUGGAAGAUUCAGCUACAGGCAGUGAAAACCACUGUAUAAUUCAUAUAACAAUGAGCUGUGAAAAUACACAUUGAUGAAAGUGUAGGUGAAUAAUAAACUGGUUUUGUUAA